RNAcentral lists this transfer RNA (72 nucleotides) under Camelus bactrianus (Bactrian camel). It matches the Rfam family "tRNA". From Rfam's summary of the family: Transfer RNA (tRNA) molecules are approximately 80 nucleotides in length. Their secondary structure includes four short double-helical elements and three loops (D, anti-codon, and T loops). Further hydrogen bonds mediate the characteristic L-shaped molecular structure. tRNAs have two regions of fundamental functional importance: the anti-codon, which is responsible for specific mRNA codon recognition, and the 3' end, to which the tRNAs corresponding amino acid is attached (by aminoacyl-tRNA synthetases). tRNAs cope with the degeneracy of the genetic code in two manners: having more than one tRNA (with a specific anti-codon) for a particular amino acid; and 'wobble' base-pairing, i.e. permitting non-standard base-pairing at the 3rd anti-codon position. Lineage: Eukaryota; Metazoa; Chordata; Mammalia; Artiodactyla; Camelidae. The record is from Rfam by way of RNAcentral. RNAcentral also lists the same sequence under 2 other names.
GAGGGGAUAGCUCAGUGGUAGAGUGCAUGCUUAGCAUGCAUGAGGUCCUGGGUUCAAUCCCCAGUCCCUCCA